This 421-nucleotide ribosomal RNA is filed under the name uncultured bacterium. RNAcentral describes it as "bacterial SSU rRNA". It matches the Rfam family "Bacterial small subunit ribosomal RNA", at positions 367 to 803 of the family's 1533-position model. The record is from RNAcentral.
CGCAAUGGGCGAAAGCCUGACGGAGCAACGCCGCGUGAGGGACGAAGGCCUCUGGGCUGUAAACCUCUUUUCUCAAGGAAGAAGAUAUGACGGUACUUGAGGAAUAAGCCACGGCUAAUUCCGUGCCAGCAGCCGCGGUAAUACGGGAGUGGCAAGCGUUAUCCGGAAUUAUUGGGCGUAAAGCGUCCGCAGGCGGCCUUUCAAGUCUGCUGUUAAAGCGUGGAGCUUAACUCCAUUAUGGCAGUGGAAACUGAUCGGCUUGAGUAUGGUAGGGGCAGAGGGAAUUCCCGGUGUAGCGGUGAAAUGCGUAGAUAUCGGGAAGAACACCAGUGGCGAAGGCGCUCUGCUGGGCCAUUACUGACGCUCAUGGACGAAAGCCAGGGGAGCGAAAGGGAUUAGAUACCCCUGUAGUCCUGGCCGU